UACGGAGGGUGCAAGCGUUAAUCGGAAUUACUGGGCGUAAAGCGCGCGUAGGCGGCCCUGUAAGUCCGUUGUGAAAGUCAAAGGCUCAACCUUUGAAAGCCGAUGGAUACUGCAGGGCUAGAGUCCGGAAGAGGCGAGUGGAAUUCCUGGUGUAGCGGUGGAAUGCGCAGAUAUCAGGAGGAACACCAAUAGCGAAGGCAGCUCGCUGGGACGGUACUGACGCUAAGGCGCGAAAGCGUGGGGAGCGAACAGG
Molecule: ribosomal RNA, 253 nt
Filed under: uncultured bacterium
Lineage: Bacteria
Description: partial 16S ribosomal RNA
Rfam family: Bacterial small subunit ribosomal RNA
Source: RNAcentral